Molecule: ribosomal RNA, 253 nt
Filed under: uncultured bacterium
Lineage: Bacteria
Description: partial 16S ribosomal RNA
Rfam family: Bacterial small subunit ribosomal RNA
Source: RNAcentral
UACGUAGGGUGCAAGCGUUAAUCGGAAUUACUGGGCGUAAAGCGUGCGUAGGUGGUUUGUUAAGUCUGAUGUGAAAGCCCUGGGCUCAACCUGGGAAUUGCAUUGGAUACUGGCAGGCUAGAGUGCGGUAGAGGGUAGUGGAAUUCCCGGUGUAGCAGUGAAAUGCGUAGAGAUCGGGAGGAACAUCCGUGGCGAAGGCGACUACCUGGACCAGCACUGACACUGAGGCACGAAAGCGUGGGGAGCAAACAGG